GUCUGACCCAAGUUCAUUUAUUCUACUCUACUUAUUGGAUUCUGCAGUCCCACUAGUGAAUUGAAUUUCACAGCUGAUUCAGAGCAAACAAACAAACAGAAGAGAAGUGAAGCAAUUGUCUGUGUUGAUAAGCUGAAAGGUCAUUACGUAGUUGACACUUUGUUGUCAUUUUUUGUACUGAUUCUCAAAUAGGAGUGUCGUGCACUGAAACAUUGUAAUCUCUCUCUGAAUUACUUGAAUCUGUCUGUUGCCAGAAUGUUGCUGUUGCUUUCAGGUAAUUCCUCUUAAAGCACCAGCUGAUAUAAUUUGUCUUGCGUGUUUGCAGAAUAGAAUAUCCACCAAGUGAUGGCUCACAGUGCGAUGUCCUUGGUUCCUCAAGGGCUUUGUGGAUGCGGCGGUAUGCAGCAGCAGCAGCCAACAGAGCAUUCCAACAAGGGACAUCCAUUCCAAAGGAUGCUCAAAUAGGUGGGAGGUGGUUGGUUAUUGGGAUUCAGCAUCAGCCUCGCACGCACCACUUGAGAAGAAACUUUUGUGUAUUCGCCUCUGUAGAUUAAAUUGGUACGGCAGUAGAAUUGUGUUUUUUCUAGAUAGAGUAGAAGAGUAAAAUCGUUCCAUUUUGGAACAAGUAGAAACUCGAUGGGAUGGGCAACCAUCUUCCACUUCCUCCGAGAAAAAAAUGAUUCUUCUGGAUCAGUUGAUGCACCCAGCCAUAUUAUUAUUAUUA
This 724-nucleotide long non-coding RNA is filed under the name Triticum aestivum (bread wheat). RNAcentral describes it as "long non-coding RNA (TAES_LNC009507)". The record is from RNAcentral. Lineage: Eukaryota; Viridiplantae; Streptophyta; Magnoliopsida; Poales; Poaceae.